GUUUCAUCUGGAGCUCCCUCCAUACCAGAGGAUUUGAGAGGCCUACUAAAGUAAUUCCUGUGUCCCUGCCUUCUGGACACCGGUUGUUAUUAACUGUGCUGGGGCAGCCCAUAGCUUCCAUAUGCAGCUCUGCCAGAGUGAUUUGUCGCAGGCUGAAGCCCAUGGCCGUGUCCAUAGGUCUGGGCUGAUGAUCUGCAGGAAAUUAGAUGCUGUGUUUUUAUUGUCGAUAGCUGAGACCUUGCAGAAAACAGGGAGAUGAAGACAGUCAGGCCCAUGACACAUUUAUUCUGAUCUAUCACCAUAGAAACAGAUAAUCCAUCAAAGGUCCGUGUGGACAAAGCCAGUUUGCAAGAUGGGAUGUAACGGGGCUCCACCCCGUUCACAGAAGGCUGCGUCCAGGCCCAUGUGUGCAGCCUCCCUCCAAGCACUCAGUGCACAGCUGGGUGCUUUGGGUCCUUGCAUUGCUGUGAGCCCAGGGCAGUGCUGGGAGCAGGAGGAGCAGACACCUCCACACCACGCACUAAGGCUGCAGAGGUGAAGAGGACCAGGGCUGACAGCUACAUCAGCACUUUUUUUUGCACAUCCACUUGCUUACAAGACGAGAGCUUGAUGCCUGGAUUUAACAAGACAAUGAAUUGUCUCCCCAACACCCAGACCUACCAGCACUUCGAAAUGUUCCUCCACUGCUGCCUUUCUGCUCCAUUACGUUUGGCGCUGAAGCAUCAGAACGGUAGCUGACAUCUCUUACAGAGUGUGUCAUUUCCUUUACAUAGAUUUCCUGAGGGCUGAGCAAACCACGUGUAUGUACAGCAAGAAACACACACAAAAAUACAUGAAUUAUGCCAAGGCAUUAAGGUAUCAGUAUAAUAGAGGGCUGGUGGGCUGCUAAACGUGGUGUGCAUGUGCAGCUGUAUGGGACUGCUGGUAGUGUUUGCACCAUGCAGGGUCUGCAGUGUGACUGAAGUAUAUUACUUACGUCUUAUGGCAGAUCGUGUUGGUCGAUCAUUAAAUAUAUAUAUGUUGU
Gallus gallus (chicken) is the source of this 1024-nucleotide long non-coding RNA. The record is from Ensembl. NCBI's taxonomy places the organism in Eukaryota, Metazoa, Chordata, Aves, Galliformes, Phasianidae.